GCAGUCGACGGCAGCACGGAGAGCUUGCUCUCUGGUGGCGAGUGGCGAACGGGUGAGUAAUAUAUCGGAACGUGUCCAAUAAUGGGGGAUAACGAGUCGAAAGAUUCGCUAAUACCGCAUACGCCCUACGGGGGAAAGCAGGGGAUCGUAAGACCUUGCGUUAAUGGAGCGGCCGAUAUCUGAUUAGCUUGUUGGUGAGGUAAAGGCUCACCAAGGCGACGAUCAGUAGCUGGUUUGAGAGAACGACCAGCCACACUGGAACUGAGACACGGUCCAGACUCCUACGGGAGGCAGCAGUGGGGAAUUUUGGACAAUGGGGGCAACCCUGAUCCAGCCAUUCCGCGUGAGUGAAGAAGGCCUUCGGGCUGUAAAGCUCUUUCGCAAGGGAAGAAAACUUAUGAUCGAAUAAAUCAUGAGGUUGACGGUACCUUGAUAAGAAGCACCGGCUAACUACGUGCCAGCAGCCGCGGUAAUACGUAGGGUGCGAGCGUUAAUCGGAAUUACUGGGCGUAAAGCGUGCGCAGGCGGUUUUGUAAGUCGGAUGUGAAAUCCCCGGGCUCAACCUGGGAACUGCGUUCG
RNAcentral lists this ribosomal RNA (579 nucleotides) under uncultured Pseudomonadota bacterium. RNAcentral's name for it is "bacterial SSU rRNA". It matches the Rfam family "Bacterial small subunit ribosomal RNA", at positions 57 to 629 of the family's 1533-position model. Lineage: Bacteria; Pseudomonadati; Pseudomonadota. The record is from RNAcentral.